AGCGAACGCUGGCGGCAUGCCUAACACAUGCAAGUCGAACGAACCUUUCGGGGUUAGUGGCGGACGGGUGGGUAACACGUGGGAACGUGCCUUUAGGUGCGGAAUAACUCAGGGGAACUCGUGCUAAUACCGGAUGUGCCCUUCCGGGCAACGAGUGAUCGCCGUUAGAGCGGCUGGCGACUGAUUAGCUAGUUGGUUGUGGUAAUGGCUCACCAAGGCGAGUAUCGGUAGCUGGUCAGAGAGGAUGUUCAGACACAUUGGGACUGAGACGCGGCCGAGACUCUUACGCGAGGCGGGAGUGGGGAAUCCUGCGAAACGGGCGAAAGGCUGACGCAGCCAUGCCGGGUGAAUGAUGAAGGUGGUAGGGUUGAAAAAUUCUUUCACAGGAGACGAUAAUGACGGUACCCGGAGAAGAAGCCCCGGCUAACUUCGUG
RNAcentral lists this ribosomal RNA (434 nucleotides) under uncultured bacterium. RNAcentral describes it as "partial 16S ribosomal RNA". It matches the Rfam family "Bacterial small subunit ribosomal RNA", at positions 29 to 507 of the family's 1533-position model. The record is from RNAcentral.